GAGUAAAGCGGCGCACGGGUGAGUAACGCGUGGAUAAUCUACCCUUGAGUGGGGAAUAACCCGCCGAAAGGCGGACUAAUACCGCAUAAGACCACAAUACGCAGGUAUUGCGGUUAAAGGUGGGGACCCUUCGGGGCCCAGUGCUCGAGGAUGAGUCCGCGUCCCAUCAGUUUGUUGGUGAGGUAACGGCUCACCAAGGCUAAGACGGGUAGCUGGUCUGAGAGGACGAUCAGUCACACUGGCACUGGAACACGGGCCAGACUCCUACGGGAGGCAGCAGUGGGGAAUAUUGCGCAAUGGGCGAAAGCCUGACGCAGCGACGCCGCGUGAGGGAAGAAGGCCUUCGGGUCGUAAACCUCUGUCAGGGGGGAAGAAAGCUGCAGCGGUUAAUAGCCGUUGUAGUUGACGGUACCCCCGGAGGAAGCAUCGGCUAACUACGUGCCAGCAGCCGCGGUAAUACGUAGGAUGCAAGCGUUGCUCGGAAUCACUGGGUGUAAAGAGCGCGUAGGUGGCUUGGCAAGUCAAGGGUGAAAUCCCUCGGCUCAACCGGGGAACUGCCUUUGAAACUGCCAGGCUUGAGUACGGGAGAGGGAAGCGGAAUUCCUGGUGUAGCGGUGAAAUGCGUAGAUAUCAGGAGGAACACCGGCGGCGAAGGCGGCUUCCUGGACCGAUACUGACACUGAGGCGCGAAAGCGUGGGUAGCAACAGGAUUAGAUACCCUGGUAGUCC
RNAcentral lists this ribosomal RNA (729 nucleotides) under uncultured bacterium. RNAcentral's name for it is "bacterial SSU rRNA". It matches the Rfam family "Bacterial small subunit ribosomal RNA", at positions 88 to 796 of the family's 1533-position model. The record is from RNAcentral.